UCCCCUGUGGUGUAAUCAGGCAGCACAAUGGGUUUUGGUCCCACAGGUUCAGGUUCAAAUCCUGACAGGGGAG
RNAcentral lists this transfer RNA (73 nucleotides) under Streptomyces aidingensis. Its description in RNAcentral is "Streptomyces sp. TRM46012 tRNA". It matches the Rfam family "tRNA". Rfam says of the family: Transfer RNA (tRNA) molecules are approximately 80 nucleotides in length. Lineage: Bacteria; Bacillati; Actinomycetota; Actinomycetes; Kitasatosporales; Streptomycetaceae. The record is from Rfam by way of RNAcentral.